AUCUAAGGCCGUACAACCCUGAGCCUGCCUAAUCUCAUCUGAUCUCAGAAGUGAAGCAGGGGUGAACUUGGCUAGUACUUGGAUAGAGAGAGCCUCACAAAGCAUGGUUU
RNAcentral lists this ribosomal RNA (110 nucleotides) under Nannospalax galili (Upper Galilee mountains blind mole rat). Lineage: Eukaryota; Metazoa; Chordata; Mammalia; Rodentia; Spalacidae. The record is from RNAcentral.